Molecule: small nucleolar RNA, 99 nt
Organism: Hypomesus transpacificus
Lineage: Eukaryota; Metazoa; Chordata; Actinopteri; Osmeriformes; Osmeridae
Product: small nucleolar RNA SNORD16
Exons: 1
Source: RefSeq, a predicted model, not a curated record
UGCUGUGAUGGUGUAAUUUGCGUCUUACACUGUGAUCAGUGACAGUAUGCCUGCUGUCAUAUGCUGACACAGAUGGCUGACGAUCAUUGAGACUGAGCA